Non-coding RNA from Erythranthe guttata (spotted monkey flower), 1027 nucleotides. The record is from RefSeq and is a predicted model, not a curated record. NCBI's taxonomy places the organism in Eukaryota, Viridiplantae, Streptophyta, Magnoliopsida, Lamiales, Phrymaceae.
UGUGCGGAAGUCAUGCUGAGGUAGCACAUGUUUAAUUUUCCGUGCUAUAAAAAGGGGUGGGUUCUCAUUGUAAUUUGCACACCUGCAUUUGUAGUAAACAUCCCUCUUCUCGAGCUUUGGAAUCAUCACCUCGUUUUGUAUCGAGUUCAAGAUGAGCAAAAGAUCGAGGAAACACCACAUCUGAAAUAUCUCACGACCACGAUCACUCGUUUCUCCAAGCGUACUAGAUUCCUGGAUGUUGAGGUCCAAUGUCGAGACAAAUGGCAGAUCAAAAUCCAGACAUUGUAUGGUCAGGCGAUGCUUACAUAUGCAAUAAGCAGCUAAAAGCACUAUCCAUACGAAACUAAUAUACCAGUAGGCAGUAUAUUCCUUUAUGUGGAUCCUGGGCGGAGAAGGAAACGAACACCUGGGCCACGUGGAAGAUUUAUGCGAGGGUCAAAAUGGAGAGAAAAGGGUUAAGAGUGCGAUUAUUACUUCCUAAGUUAAAUCCACAGCCAAGAGAAGUUUUCAUUACUUAUCGAGAUUGCGUUAGGUGCAGGACGCAUAGUAGGGAUUGGAGGAUAUAUAUAUAUUCUUUCGAUUUCGAUAGGGGUGUGUUCCAGAUUAAAUCGUAUCAUGCGAUGGAAUCGUAUGUUGGGCAUCGUACGAUAGUAAUUUCUUUAUUCUCAUCCCCAUUACAGGCGAGUAUUUUGCUGUAGAUUGUCCUCGUUAAUGCCUUUACAAGAUGGGUUUCGUAUGAUUUGUAAUAAGUUUGAGCUUUUGAGGAUGUCUGAAACGAGGGGAAAGAAACAGGACAGGAUUUCACCCUGGUUUGCUGAAGUUUUAACCUGCGGGGGAUGCAAAUUGGAGGUGCUAUUUCUCGAUUUUUGGACCUGUCUCGAAGAGUAGUUGCGGUCGUUUAUGUACAAAGUGCAAUAUAUUGGAGGUAUAUUAGGGAUUGGAGGAUAUAUUUUUUGUUAGAUUGUCAUAUAUGUAAAUGUUACUGUUUAAUUUUACUUCCAACUUUUUAUUUUCAUAAACUUAUUUC